RNAcentral lists this ribosomal RNA (253 nucleotides) under uncultured bacterium. RNAcentral's name for it is "partial 16S ribosomal RNA". It matches the Rfam family "Bacterial small subunit ribosomal RNA", at positions 524 to 776 of the family's 1533-position model. The record is from RNAcentral.
UACGGAGGGGACUAGCGUUGUUCGGAAUUACUGGGCGUAAAGCGCACGUAGGCGGUUUUGUAAGUCAGGGGUGAAAUCCCGGGGCUCAACCUCGGAACUGCCUUUGAUACUGCAAAUCUCGAGUCCGGAAGAGGAGAGUGGAAUUCCUGGUGUAGCGGUGAAAUGCGUAGAUAUCUGGAGGAACACCGGUGGCGAAGGCGGCAUCCUGGACCAACACUGACACUGAGGAGCGAAAGCCAGGGGAGCAAACGGG